This 1418-nucleotide long non-coding RNA is filed under the name Trifolium pratense (red clover). RNAcentral describes it as "long non-coding RNA (TPRA_LNC001380)". The record is from RNAcentral. Lineage: Eukaryota; Viridiplantae; Streptophyta; Magnoliopsida; Fabales; Fabaceae.
CUAAAUAUCACACCAACCAACGGUAGAUCACAAACAGAGAACAACAACCACAUGAAUGCUCCUCAUAAGCCAUACUCAUUCUCAAAACAAAACCAUCAACAACAUUUUCAUCUUCCAUUUUCACUCUUUUUUUUUUCUUCUUUGUCAUUGCUACCAUUAUUAUUAGUAGUAGUUGAUCAUGGCCACUGUUACUACACAGGCUUCGGCUGCCAUUUUCCGGCCAUGCGGUUUGAAAUCGAGGUUUCUUGCCGGUUCUUCUGGUUAUAAAUUGAAUAGAGAAGUGGCUUUUAGGCCAGUUAAGUGUUCACCUUCUGCUUCUUUUAAGGUUUUUGCCAAGAAAGGAGAGUGGUUGCCUGGCUUGGCCUCCCCUGGUUACCUCACUGGCAGGUAUGUAAAUCUAAUAGACACUAUGUACACUGGACACCGGACACAACACUGACAUAGAUAUGUGCAUGCUACACAAGUGAUAAUUUGAGAAAAUUAUAGUGAUUGAAUGUAACCAUGUGUCAGUAUUAUGUUAGUGUUGGACAACAGAUACACUUACAAUGUUCAUACUUACACAUAAUUCAAUUGUUAAUGAUUGUUAAAAGUCACACAUCGAUAUGACAUAUCACAUGUCAUAUGGUGUGAACAUGAGUUUAUAAUUAGAGAUAAUUAUUCAUAUAUUAUUCAAAGGUAUCCGACUCUUCUAAAAUGAGUAAAGUAUAAAUCAAGUAAAUCAAUAUUUGUUAAUUCAACAAACCCGUGUUUGUUAUGAUGUACCUGUAAUGUUCGCCUUUAAUUUAUUAAUCAAUAUAUAGUUGAUAAUACUCACUUUACGCCUUAAGUUGAGUUGUUCAUUUUAGAAUAGCCGGAUCAUUUUAGAAUAUUAACCUAGUGGUUAACUUUGUAAUUUGUUUGUUUUGUGUUAUAAUUAGUCUUCCCGGAGACAAUGGAUUCGAUCCAUUGGGACUCGCAGAGGAUCCAGAGAACUUGAAAUGGUUUGUUCAAGCCGAGCUUGUAAACGGACGUUGGGCCAUGUUAGGUGUUGCAGGGAUGUUACUUCCUGAGGUCUUAACCAGCAUUGGAAUCAUCAAUGUUCCAAAAUGGUAUGAUGCAGGGAAAGAAGAAUACUUUGCUUCAUCAUCAACACUCUUUGUGAUUGAGUUCAUUUUGUUCCAUUAUGUUGAGAUUAGAAGAUGGCAAGACAUUAAGAACCCUGGUAGCGUUAACCAAGAUCCUAUCUUUAAGCAAUACAGCUUGCCAAAGGGUGAGGUUGGUUACCCUGGUGGAAUUUUUAACCCUUUGAACUUUGCACCAACUUUGGAAGCUAAAGAGAAGGAAAUUGCCAAUGGUAAAUGCUUUUUACUUUCUAGUUAUAGCUUAAAUAUUGCUUAAAACUCUUUUUUAUCGAGUCAGUCAAUCAAUCAUAAUUAUUA